This 631-nucleotide unclassified non-coding RNA is filed under the name Centaurea ornata. RNAcentral describes it as "partial external transcribed spacer". Lineage: Eukaryota; Viridiplantae; Streptophyta; Magnoliopsida; Asterales; Asteraceae. The record is from RNAcentral.
UGCCCCUCACUUGCCAAUAGKUUUAGAUCAGCCAGGGCGUCGGCAUGUGUAGCGUAUUAUGUUGGGCUCUCUCGAGAUAAGGAUACGAUGUCCCUUUAUCGGUUGGUUUCCUGUGUGCGCGGCCCGUUCGUUUUUUUGUUACUUUCGCAUCGUUCGGUGCAUUCUGGGGGCUGUGUUGGCUUUUGGUGGCUUGCUUGGCCUUUUGGCUUUGCUUGUUGCUACUUGUCGGGCUGCUUUCGGGAAUGUCGACCGUGGAGGUGCAUGAGUGGUGUUUGGUUUGUUACGUGUGGAUGGCUGUUUGCUUGUGCAACAACGUUCACGCUGCAUACCUCUUCAGUUUUGCGGCAAGGCUUGGUUUGGCUUGUGCAUAUUGUGGGUUUCCUGUGUUGCAUACCUAGUUGAUGGAAAAGUGUGGGUUUUACGAUUUUCAUUUUCGUCUUGCGUCGUUCUUUCGGCGUGGGAUGAACAAUGAAGCGAUCUUUAUGAUCCAUCGUGCUGUUGCGUUUGCAACAAUGAUGUGGCCUAUGAAGCAUCGUUUGGUCUCUUGUAUACGGAAGCUCAUUUGGGCUUGGGUCUUUAUAAGAUCUUCGUUACGCCCUUGUUAAGCGUUCUCGCUUCUCCUAAACGAUUG